GUGAUGGAGCGGAUUUUUACCGUUUCUCCGCCGUGAGUUCGACUGAAGCGGAACGGUGUCAGGUCGAACUACAUCAC
This 77-nucleotide non-coding RNA is filed under the name unclassified sequences. RNAcentral describes it as "CyVA-1 RNA". It matches the Rfam family "CyVA-1 RNA". From Rfam's summary of the family: Cyanobacteria, Acidobacteria (1 example), Verrucomicrobia (1 example). The record is from Rfam by way of RNAcentral.